RNAcentral lists this transfer RNA (77 nucleotides) under Alphaproteobacteria bacterium. RNAcentral describes it as "tRNA-Arg". It matches the Rfam family "tRNA". From Rfam's summary of the family: Transfer RNA (tRNA) molecules are approximately 80 nucleotides in length. Their secondary structure includes four short double-helical elements and three loops (D, anti-codon, and T loops). Further hydrogen bonds mediate the characteristic L-shaped molecular structure. tRNAs have two regions of fundamental functional importance: the anti-codon, which is responsible for specific mRNA codon recognition, and the 3' end, to which the tRNAs corresponding amino acid is attached (by aminoacyl-tRNA synthetases). tRNAs cope with the degeneracy of the genetic code in two manners: having more than one tRNA (with a specific anti-codon) for a particular amino acid; and 'wobble' base-pairing, i.e. permitting non-standard base-pairing at the 3rd anti-codon position. Lineage: Bacteria; Pseudomonadati; Pseudomonadota; Alphaproteobacteria. The record is from RNAcentral.
GCGCCCGUAGCUCAGUUGGAUAGAGCACCAGACUACGAAUCUGGGGGCCGGAGGUUCGAAUCCUUCCGGGCGCGCCA